GACGAACGCUGGCGGCGUGCUUAACACAUGCAAGUCGAACGGAAAGGCCCUGCUUUUGUGGGGUGCUCGAGUGGCGAACGGGUGAGUAACACGUGAGUAACCUGCCCUUGACUUUGGGAUAACUUCAGGAAACUGGGGCUAAUACCGGAUAGGAGCUCCUGCUGCAUGGUGGGGGUUGGAAAGUUUCGGCGGUUGGGGAUGGACUCGCGGCUUAUCAGCUUGUUGGUGGGGUAGUGGCUUACCAAGGCUUUGACGGGUAGCCGGCCUGAGAGGGUGACCGGCCACAUUGGGACUGAGCUACGGCCCAGACUCCUACGGGCGGCAGCAGUGCGGAAUAUUGCACAAUGGGCGGAAGCCUGAUGCAGCCACGCCGCGUGCGGGAUGACGGCCUUCGGGUUGUAAACCGCUUUCGCCUGUGACGAAGCGUGAGUGACGGUAAUGGGUAAAGAAGCACCGGCUAACUACGUG
RNAcentral lists this ribosomal RNA (468 nucleotides) under uncultured bacterium. RNAcentral describes it as "partial 16S ribosomal RNA". It matches the Rfam family "Bacterial small subunit ribosomal RNA", at positions 28 to 507 of the family's 1533-position model. The record is from RNAcentral.